CCUCACCCUUCCUUCUCCUACAAAACCAAGACGCACACCGCGCAUCUCACAUCGAUCAAUCUCCUCCCGUUUCCUUUGUUUUCAUUUCUCGAUUUCACGCUUCUCCUCGCAACACCGCACGCGUGCUUUUUCUUCUUCCUCAGUUUUGGCACGUUGAAUUGAGCAACAGCCCUUGCUUGAUCCAUCGGUCAUCCGCUGCCGCGCAGUGAUCAAGUCAUUUGCUUGUUUUAGUAUUAGCACAACGGACACGUCUCAAGUAGCGCUUGCAAAAAAAAAAAAGAGCGUGCGCAUUCGCUUGAGUGUUGUUGUCCUCACAUCUCUCUCUCUCCAACUCGGCGGCUUCCUUGACCACCUUGCGCUCUUGCUGGCUGCACUGCACGCCAGGUCUGGUCGCGGGCUUUUUUUCCCCUUCUUAUCGCUUCGAUCGGACUUGUGUGCUUUGGCGUGCUGUUUCGUAUUUUUGUGAUUUGCGUGUUUGUGUGCAACGUGGCGCUGCCGGGCCCGUGCGCGUUGUCUUGCAAGAAAUCGGUCCGCCGACUCCCUCACAUCCACAGAAGCCCGCGCAAGUGAAACUGUCUUCGCAGACAAGGGAGGGCGCAAAUCCAUUGCUGACAUCGACUACCCUCUUUUUUUUUUUCUUCCCUCUUCGUCGCAGCAUGAUGACGGAUGAUAAGCACGUGCUAUCGAUUCAGUCCCAUGUGACGCACGGGUAUGUGGGCAACAAGGCCGCUACGUUUCCGCUGCAGCUCCACGGCUUCGACGUCGAUGCCAUCAACACGGUGAGCCUGUCGAACCACAGCGGCUAUCCAGUCAUCAAGGGUCAUCGCAUGGAUCUCGAGGAGUUCACCACUAUCAUGGAGGGCCUGCGCGCCAACGACUUCUUGAGCGACUACGCCUAUGUUCUGACCGGGUACAUCAACAACAGAGACAUCGUCCGACAAGUAGCGGCGACCGUCGCCGAGAUUCGAGAGGCGCGUCAGAAGCAAGGUAAGAAGGAUGCCGUAUUCUUCUGUGACCCCGUGAUGGGCGACGACGGGAGACUGUACUGCAAGGAGGAGGUGGUGGAGGCGUACAGGGAGCUGCUCACCCAUGCGGACGUUGCAACGCCGAACUACUUCGAGGCGUCGAUCCUGAGCACUGUGGAGGUAAAGGAUCUCGCAUCGGCGAUUGAGGCCGCUAACUGGUUUCACACGCAGGGCACGCCCACCGUGGUGAUUAAGUCCUUCGCAAUGGCAGACGACCCGACACACCUUCGCUUCUUGCUCUCUUGCCGCGACAAGGCGACCGGGUCGACGAAGCGCUACACGGGGGUGGUGCCGUACCACGAGGGGCGCUACACGGGGACGGGUGACGUCUUUGCCGCCUCGCUGGUGGCGUUUGCGCACAGCGACCCCAUGGAUUUGGCAGUCGGCAAGGCCAUGGGGGUGCUGCAGGAUCUUAUCAAGGCCACAAUUGAGCGCGGCGGCUCUGGUAAAGCGACGCUGAGCUCGCGUGAGCUGCGCGUGACGAGCUACCCGGACCGGCUGCAGCAUCCGUCCUCCGUGGCCCUGGUGACACCGUUGCCGUAGGUGAAGGGGGGGGGGCUUUUGACGUAGAGAACAAGUAUCGUAGCACGCAUGCAGAGAGUUGUCUGGCCCACGGUGUAAUCGAGCGUUGCAGUAUCUAUACACCCGUCGAGACAGUGCGGCCCCCCUCUCCUCCUCUUUUGGCGGGUUUAUCUCGGCGGCGCACACACGCUGAUAAGGCGGUGAGGGACGGAGGGGGGAGAGGGGCCUGCGCAAAAUUAAAAACACGAACACCGUCCGCCCACUCACGUAUGCAUGAAUGCGAAGGGGCCGCCUCGGCGAUCGGUAUUGAAGGGUGGGGGUGGGGAGUGAGCGCAGUCGCUUGAGUGAUUCCUGUGCCUGCAUCGCUCUGCACUGAUCCGAUGCUGACACUCGACUGUGCCAGUCGCACAGGGGAGGGGCUAGUGGGUGUGGGAGAUCAGACAGCUUGGAACCUCGCCCCCGCCCCCGCUCUGUCUGGCACUUCCGUAGCCGAUUUGGAAAACGCGGAGUCAGAUGGCUCGCAUGCGAGCGUGCGCUCACCCGUGAUGGCCUUCAGGGAAGCAGGCGACCGUCCCUCUCUUUUCUCACUGCCUGAAACUUUUCAUCGCUCCUUCGCCCUCUGCUGUGUGUGUCCUUCUCUUCUGAAUUGCUUGGCACGUCUUCUCUCCAUUCAUGUUCACCGUCCCCAUGCACCGACGCUGUCGCUGCCCUUGUGCCCUCCCCCCCGGCCGUGUCGUCAUGGAUUUGCACGUGCCCUGGCGAG
RNAcentral lists this unclassified non-coding RNA (2310 nucleotides) under Leishmania donovani. Its description in RNAcentral is "gene:LdHU3.30.1690(CDS-product:pyridoxal_kinase_p utative)". The record is from RNAcentral. Lineage: Eukaryota; Euglenozoa; Kinetoplastea; Trypanosomatida; Trypanosomatidae.